CUCAGUUCGGAUUGGAGUCUGNAACCCGACUCCAUGAAGCUGGAUUUGCUAGUAAUCGCGCAUCAGCCACGGCGCGGUGAAUACGUUCCCGGGCCUUGUACACACCGCCCGUCAAGCCAUGGGAGCCGGGGGUACCUGAAGUGCGUGACCGCAAGGAGCGCCCUAAGGUAAAACCGGUGACUGGGGCUAAGUCGUAACAAGGUAUC
RNAcentral lists this ribosomal RNA (206 nucleotides) under uncultured bacterium. RNAcentral's name for it is "partial 16S ribosomal RNA". It matches the Rfam family "Bacterial small subunit ribosomal RNA", at positions 1287 to 1500 of the family's 1533-position model. The record is from RNAcentral.